AUCCUUGAUACUGUAGAAGAAAUGAUGACCAAUGUCCUGGAAGACGCUGAUCAGCUGCAACUGACUUAUCUAAUGUUGCUGACAAACGAGCCUGGCGGAAGCGUUUGGAUCGGUCACGUUCUUGACAGUUUGAUGGAAAACAUUGUGAAGGGUCUGGCAUCUGAGUCUUUAACAUGUGAGGAUCUCUUGGGUCCCUUUGAGGGGCUCUUAA
Molecule: long non-coding RNA, 211 nt
Organism: Micropterus salmoides (largemouth bass)
Lineage: Eukaryota; Metazoa; Chordata; Actinopteri; Centrarchiformes; Centrarchidae
Exons: 3
Source: RefSeq, a predicted model, not a curated record